Molecule: unclassified non-coding RNA, 334 nt
Filed under: soil metagenome
Description: partial contains 5.8S ribosomal RNA, internal transcribed spacer 2, and large subunit ribosomal RNA
Rfam family: 5.8S ribosomal RNA (bases 1-120)
Source: RNAcentral
GAUGAAGAACGUAGCGAAAUGCGAUAAGUAAUGUGAAUUGCAGAAUUCAGUGAAUCAUCGAAUCUUUGAACGCACAUUGCGCCCGCCAGUAUUCUGGCGGGCAUGCCUGUUCGAGCGUCAUUUCAACCAUCAAGCCCUGCUUGCGUUGGGGUCCUGCGGCUGCCCGCAGGCCCUGAAAACCAGUGGCGGGCUCGCUAGUCACACCGAGCGCAGUAAUACAUCUCGCUUUGGGCGUGCGGCGGGUUCUUGCCGUUAAACACCCCCUUUUUACCAAGGUUGACCUCGGAUCAGGUAGGAAUACCCGCUGAACUUAAGCAUAUCAAUAAGCGGAGAA